Molecule: ribosomal RNA, 601 nt
Filed under: bacterium PQS-9
Lineage: Bacteria
Description: bacterial SSU rRNA
Rfam family: Bacterial small subunit ribosomal RNA
Source: RNAcentral
UGCAGUCGAGCGGAUGAAGGAGCUUGCUCCUGGAUUCAGCGGCGGACGGGUGAGUAAAGCCUAGGAAUCUGCCUGGUAGUGGGGGACAACGUCUCGAAAGGGACGCUAAUACCGCAUACGUCCUACGGGAGAAAGCAGGGGACCUUCGGGCCUUGCGCUAUCAGAUGAGCCUAGGUCGGAUUAGCUAGUUGGUGAGGUAAUGGCUCACCAAGGCGACGAUCCGUAACUGGUCUGAGAGGAUGAUCAGUCACACUGGAACUGAGACACGGUCCAGACUCCUACGGGAGGCAGCAGUGGGGAAUAUUGGACAAUGGGCGAAAGCCUGAUCCAGCCAUGCCGCGUGUGUGAAGAAGGUCUUCGGAUUGUAAAGCACUUUAAGUUGGGAGGAAGGGCAUUAACCUAAUACGUUAGUGUUUUGACGUUACCGACAGAAUAAGCACCGGCUAACUCUGUGCCAGCAGCCGCGGUAAUACAGAGGGUGCAAGCGUUAAUCGGAAUUACUGGGCGUAAAGCGCGCGUAGGUGGUUUGUUAAGUUGGAUGUGAAAGCCCCGGGCUCAACCUGGGAACUGCAUUCAAAACUGACAAGCUAGAGUAUGGUAG